Molecule: ribosomal RNA, 1552 nt
Filed under: Staphylococcus aureus
Lineage: Bacteria; Bacillati; Bacillota; Bacilli; Caryophanales; Staphylococcaceae
Description: 16S ribosomal RNA
Rfam family: Bacterial small subunit ribosomal RNA
Source: RNAcentral
UUUAUGGAGAGUUUGAUCCUGGCUCAGGAUGAACGCUGGCGGCGUGCCUAAUACAUGCAAGUCGAGCGAACGGACGAGAAGCUUGCUUCUCUGAUGUUAGCGGCGGACGGGUGAGUAACACGUGGAUAACCUACCUAUAAGACUGGGAUAACUUCGGGAAACCGGAGCUAAUACCGGAUAAUAUUUUGAACCGCAUGGUUCAAAAGUGAAAGACGGUCUUGCUGUCACUUAUAGAUGGAUCCGCGCUGCAUUAGCUAGUUGGUAAGGUAACGGCUUACCAAGGCAACGAUGCAUAGCCGACCUGAGAGGGUGAUCGGCCACACUGGAACUGAGACACGGUCCAGACUCCUACGGGAGGCAGCAGUAGGGAAUCUUCCGCAAUGGGCGAAAGCCUGACGGAGCAACGCCGCGUGAGUGAUGAAGGUCUUCGGAUCGUAAAACUCUGUUAUUAGGGAAGAACAUAUGUGUAAGUAACUGUGCACAUCUUGACGGUACCUAAUCAGAAAGCCACGGCUAACUACGUGCCAGCAGCCGCGGUAAUACGUAGGUGGCAAGCGUUAUCCGGAAUUAUUGGGCGUAAAGCGCGCGUAGGCGGUUUUUUAAGUCUGAUGUGAAAGCCCACGGCUCAACCGUGGAGGGUCAUUGGAAACUGGAAAACUUGAGUGCAGAAGAGGAAAGUGGAAUUCCAUGUGUAGCGGUGAAAUGCGCAGAGAUAUGGAGGAACACCAGUGGCGAAGGCGACUUUCUGGUCUGUAACUGACGCUGAUGUGCGAAAGCGUGGGGAUCAAACAGGAUUAGAUACCCUGGUAGUCCACGCCGUAAACGAUGAGUGCUAAGUGUUAGGGGGUUUCCGCCCCUUAGUGCUGCAGCUAACGCAUUAAGCACUCCGCCUGGGGAGUACGACCGCAAGGUUGAAACUCAAAGGAAUUGACGGGGACCCGCACAAGCGGUGGAGCAUGCGGUUUAAUUCGAAGCAACGCGAAGAACCUUACCAAAUCUUGACAUCCUUUGACAACUCUAGAGAUAGAGCCUUCCCCUUCGGGGGACAAAGUGACAGGUGGUGCAUGGUUGUCGUCAGCUCGUGUCGUGAGAUGUUGGGUUAAGUCCCGCAACGAGCGCAACCCUUAAGCUUAGUUGCCAUCAUUAAGUUGGGUACUCUAAGUUGACUGCCGGUGACAAACCGGAGGAAGGUGGGGAUGACGUCAAAUCAUCAUGCCCCUUAUGAUUUGGGCUACACACGUGCUACAAUGGACAAUACAAAGGGUAGCGAAACCGCGAGGUCAAGCAAAUCCCAUAAAGUUGUUCUCAGUUCGGAUUGUAGUCUGCAACUCGACUACAUGAAGCUGGAAUCGCUAGUAAUCGUAGAUCAGCAUGCUACGGUGAAUACGUUCCCGGGUCUUGUACACACCGCCCGUCACACCACGAGAGUUUGUAACACCCGAAGCCGGUGGAGUAACCUUUUAGGAGCUAGCCGUCGAAGGUGGGACAAAUGAUUGGGGUGAAGUCGUAACAAGGUAGCCGUAUCGGAAGGUGCGGCUGGAUCACCUCCUUU